CGAACGCUGGCGGCGUGCCUAACACAUGCAAGUCGCACGAGAAAAGGACUUCGGUCCCGAGUAAAGUGGCAGACGGGUGAGUAACACGUGGGUAACCUGCCCUCGAGUGGGGAAUAACCCAGGGAAACUUGGGCUAAUACCGCAUGACAUCGUCUUUUCCCUGGAAGAGAUGAUCAAAGGUGGGGAUUGAAAGACCUACCGCUCGAGGAGGGGCCCGCGCCUGAUUAGCUUGUUGGUGAGGUAACGGCUCACCAAGGCUGCGAUCAGUAGCCGGCCUGAGAGGGUGAUCGGCCACACUGGAACUGAGACACGGUCCAGACUCCUACGGGAGGCAGCAGUGAGGAAUCUUGCGCAAUGGGCGAAAGCCUGACGCAGCAACGCCGCGUGGGUGAUGAAGGCCUUCGGGUCGUAAAACCCUGUCAGGUGGGAAGAACUGGCGGCGGGUUAACACCCCGUCGUCUUGACUGUACCACCAGAGGAAGCCCCGGCUAACUCC
RNAcentral lists this ribosomal RNA (496 nucleotides) under uncultured bacterium. RNAcentral's name for it is "bacterial SSU rRNA". It matches the Rfam family "Bacterial small subunit ribosomal RNA", at positions 30 to 504 of the family's 1533-position model. The record is from RNAcentral.